Molecule: long non-coding RNA, 342 nt
Filed under: Homo sapiens (human)
Lineage: Eukaryota; Metazoa; Chordata; Mammalia; Primates; Hominidae
Description: non-protein coding lnc-FAM104B-1:2
Source: RNAcentral
GCCUCGUGCCCCGCCCUUCGUGCUUGAAAAAAAAUCCCGCGAAGCCUUCUCCGAAAGAACAUGCUGGUUCUUUGGUUGUCAGUGCCUUACAAGCCCUGGAGGCGGGGGUGAGGUGGGGAUGUGGUCCCUCGCGAAAACUCAGUCAGUGGACAAUAGCAUUCUGUUUUUCAAAUUGGCAUUUCCUCGGUGAGGCUGCUAGGAAAAGAAGAAGAAAUGGCAGUAAAGAGGGCAACCAUCAUUCCACCCAGCCCAAAAGGAAUAAGAGAAACCCUAUCUUUCAGGAUUCUCAAGAUACAGAGUUUUCAUGGAGUGAUAAUGAAAGGAGCAGCAGCCGCAUUAAUA